This 421-nucleotide ribosomal RNA is filed under the name uncultured bacterium. Its description in RNAcentral is "bacterial SSU rRNA". It matches the Rfam family "Bacterial small subunit ribosomal RNA", at positions 28 to 437 of the family's 1533-position model. The record is from RNAcentral.
GAUGAACGCUAGCGGCAGGCUUAACACAUGCAAGUCGAGGGGCAGCGUAAUGAAGUAGCAAUACGGAUUUGACGGCGACCGGCGCACGGGUGCGUAACGCGUAUGUAACCUACCUUUAACAGGGGGAUAACACUGAGAAAUUGGUACUAAUACCCCAUAAUACCUUACAGGGCAUCCUGUUAGGUUGAAAGUUCCGGCGGUUAAAGAUGGACAUGCGUUGUAUUAGCUAGAUGGUGAGGUAACGGCUCACCAUGGCGACGAUACAUAGGGGGACUGAGAGGUUAACCCCCCANACUGGUACUGAGACACGGACCAGACUCCUACGGGAGGCAGCAGUGAGGAAUAUUGGUCAAUGGACGCAAGUCUGAACCAGCCAUGCCGCGUGCAGGAAGACGGCUCGUAUGAGUUGUAAACUGCUUUG